GAAUUGUUCGCAAUGGGCGCAAGCCUGACGACGCAGCGCCGCGUGGAGGAUGAAGGUCUUCGGAUUGUAAACUCCUGUUGCCCGGGAAGAACGGCCCCGACCUAACACGUCGGGGUUUGACGGUACCGGGGGAGGAAGCCCCGGCUAACUCCGGGCCAGCAGCCGCGGUAAUACAGAGGGGGCAAGCGUUGUUCGGACUUACUGGGCGUAAAGGGCGCGUAGGCGGCCUCCUAAGUCGGACGUGAAAUCCCCGAGCUCAACUCGGGAACUGCGUCCGAUACUGGUUGGCUUGAAUCCGGGAGAGGGAUGCGGAAUUCCAGGUGUAGCGGUGAAAUGCGUAGAUAUCUGGAGGAACACCGGUGGCGAAGGCGGCAUCCUGGACCGGCAUUGACGCUGAGGCGCGAAAGCCAGGGGAGCAAACGGG
Molecule: ribosomal RNA, 424 nt
Filed under: uncultured bacterium
Lineage: Bacteria
Description: bacterial SSU rRNA
Rfam family: Bacterial small subunit ribosomal RNA
Source: RNAcentral